This is a long non-coding RNA of Papaver somniferum (opium poppy), 828 nucleotides long. RefSeq lists it as uncharacterized. The transcript is spliced from 2 exons. NCBI's taxonomy places the organism in Eukaryota, Viridiplantae, Streptophyta, Magnoliopsida, Ranunculales, Papaveraceae. The record is from RefSeq and is a predicted model, not a curated record.
AUUCUCAUACUGUUCUCCAAUCAUCCUAUUAUGCAUGAAUUUGGUUCUGUCUUUGGUGAAAUUUGCAUUAGCUUCUAUUGUUAUUGGGAAGAAGCUGAGCUCGAAAUCAACAAAGUAGUUUUGAUGUCAGGUUAUGGAAUUAGAUUUAAAGAGAAGGUAAGGAGGCUUUUCCUCAAUGAUUUCGUUUAAAGAGUGAUAAUGAUGAUUUGAAUUUGAUUUCAUCCCUAAUACAAAAUCUUAGAAUUAGGGUUCUUGUUAGGAUCUUGGGGAUUUGUGUUAUUAUUCAUGUUGUUAUACAAAUUGACGAAAUUGGUAUUUUCUAAUCAUGAUGAUUUUUUAAUAUGGUUUGAUUGAAACAAUUUACUUCAAUAUCGAUUCUUGCUUGAAAAUUCCGUAUGUCUUGUGCACCCUAAAAUGCAGAAUUUUAUUUUGCUUAUAUCUUAAAAUCUAACCGUUGGAAUCGGCUAAAAUUUUAGUAUGUUGUGUUCCAUUAGACCAUAAUACUACUGUAAAAAUUUGAGAACGAUCAGACAUGGGAAAGAAUGAAAAGUAUUCAAUAUACCGUGACUGUAUUCUGCUGAAUUGCAGCCUUGGAAAGUCGGACAAAUCAGUAUCUCAAAUCAUGAGAAAAUCUUGACUAAAGUUUGUAUACCGGCAGAGAAAGCAGCUAGGUUGUGAGGUGUAUAUCUUUUUAAUGGGCCGUUGAAAUAUUAUGAUUUUUGAAUAUGCUAUUGUACCCUAAGUUAUUGGCUACUGUAAGGAUUUUAAGACAAUCUGGAAAGAUUUCAUAAUGUAAAACUUGAAUAAACUGGAACUGCAUUCCGUAAA